UCGGGAGCCGCAGAGUGCGUGCGACUUUUCUGUUACUGAGCAUGCGCAGUAGAAAUUGCGGCGGUCACCGCCCUCAGAGCGAAACAGGGCAGAUCCAGGAGGCAGCCCCUGAGGCUCUCUGGCCCUUCAGAGUUCAAACAGUCAAAAAGAUGGAAAAUUUUCCCGUGGCUUUAUUUUAUUUCCUUCAUUCAGUUUCCAAGCCCACAGGCUGAGCUUCCUUGCAGAACAAGAUUAAACCCCUGGAUCACUCACAGACUUCAAUUGCUGAUUGAAACGUUCUGACCAGAAGUGGUCUCCUAUUGGGGACCAUAUGGAGUGAAGAGAGGAAAGAAACAGGCUACCAAAAACAACUCAGAUGUGUUUCGUAUGGUGCCUACCAAUCUUACCAAAUAGGUCACUUGUAUAGCAUUUCCUGAGAGGAAUGUCCACAUGGGUAAGGGUGACCAGAUAGCAAGUAUGAAAAUCGGGA
This is a long non-coding RNA of Malaclemys terrapin pileata, 469 nucleotides long. RefSeq lists it as uncharacterized. The transcript is spliced from 3 exons. The record is from RefSeq and is a predicted model, not a curated record. Lineage: Eukaryota; Metazoa; Chordata; Testudines; Emydidae.